UGCCAGCAGCCGCGGUAAUACGGAGGGUGCAAGCGUUAUCCGGAUUCACUGGGUUUAAAGGGUGCGUAGGCGGGUAGGUAAGUCAGUGGUGAAAUCCUGGAGCUCAACUCCAGAACUGCCAUUGAUACUAUCUAUCUUGAAUAUUGUGGAGGUAAGCGGAAUAUGUCAUGUAGCGGUGAAAUGCUUAGAUAUGACAUAGAACACCCAUUGCGAAGGCAGCUUACUACGCAUAUAUUGACGCUGAGGCACGAAAGCGUGGGGAUCAAACAGGAUUAGAUACCCUGGUAGUCCACGCCCUAAACGAUGGAUACUCGACAUACGCGAUACACUGUGUGUGUCUGAGCGAAAGCAUUAAGUAUCCCACCUGGGAAGUACGUUCGCAAGAAUGAAACUCAAAGAAAUUGACGG
This 408-nucleotide ribosomal RNA is filed under the name uncultured Chitinophagaceae bacterium. Its description in RNAcentral is "bacterial SSU rRNA". It matches the Rfam family "Bacterial small subunit ribosomal RNA", at positions 506 to 916 of the family's 1533-position model. The record is from RNAcentral. Lineage: Bacteria; Pseudomonadati; Bacteroidota; Chitinophagia; Chitinophagales; Chitinophagaceae.